AGUCGAGCGAUGAACACCUUCGGGUGUGAAUUAGCGGCGAACGGGUGAGGAACACGUGAAGAAUCUGCCUUCAACUCUGGGAUAACUCCGGGAAACCGGGGCUAAUACCGGAUAUGAGCCUCGAUCGCAUGAUUGGGGCUGGAAAGUUUUUCGGUUGAAGAUGACUUCGCGGCCUAUCAGCUUGUUGGUGAGGUAAUGGCUCACCAAGGCGACGACGGGUAGCCGGCCUGAGAGGGCGACCGGCCACACUGGGACUGAGACACGGCCCAGACUCCUACGGGAGGCAGCAGUGGGGAAUAUUGGGCAAUGGAGGAAACUCUGACCCAGCGACGCCGCGUGAGGGAUGAAGGCCUUCGGGUUGUAAACCUCUUUCAGUAGGGAAGAAGCGAAAGUGACGGUACCUACAGAAGAAGCACCGGCUAACUAUGUGCCAGCAGCCGCGGUAAUACAUAGGGUGCAAGCGUUGUCCGGAAUUAUUGGGCGUAAAGAGCUCGUAGGUGGUUCGAUACGUCGGAUGUGAAAAUCAGGGGCUCAACCCCUGACCUGCAUCCGAUACGGUCGAGCUAGAGUUUGGUAGGGGAGACUGGAAUUCCUGGUGUAGCGGUGGAAUGCGCAGAUAUCAGGAGGAACACCGAUGGCGAA
This 642-nucleotide ribosomal RNA is filed under the name uncultured bacterium. Its description in RNAcentral is "bacterial SSU rRNA". It matches the Rfam family "Bacterial small subunit ribosomal RNA", at positions 60 to 719 of the family's 1533-position model. The record is from RNAcentral.